RNAcentral lists this ribosomal RNA (509 nucleotides) under Nematocarcinus richeri. Its description in RNAcentral is "partial 16S ribosomal RNA". The stretch from base 386 to 509 matches the Rfam family "Bacterial large subunit ribosomal RNA", at positions 2473 to 2597 of the family's 2925-position model. Lineage: Eukaryota; Metazoa; Arthropoda; Malacostraca; Decapoda; Nematocarcinidae. The record is from RNAcentral.
AUAUACAUGAAUAAAAUGUAAAGUCUGGCCUGCCCACUCAUAAUUAGUUUUAAAAGGCCGCGGUAAUUUGAGCGUGCAAAGGUAGCAUAAUCAGUAGUGUUUUAACUGAAGGCUGCAAUGAAUGGUCGUACAAGAAGCUGUCUGUUUUUGUUGUAAAAAUUUCAUUUUACUUUUAAGUGAAAAGGGUUAAAUGCAUUAGGGGGACGAUAAGACCUUAUAAAACUUGACAUAAAAAGUUGAUUUUCUAAUUGUUGUGUUAAAAUAAGUCAUGCUUGUUACGUUGGGCUGACGAGAAAAUAAAAUGUAACUGUUAAWAAAUUGACAUAAUUAUUUUGAGUUAUUUAAAUAAUUCUUUUACGUAGAUUAUAAAAAACGCUACUUUAGGGAUAACAGCGUGAUUUUUUCUGAGAGUUCUUAUCGACGAAAGUAGUUGGGACCUCGGUGUUGAAUUAAGAUGUUAUUAUGGUGUAGAAGUUCUAAUUGUAGGUCUGUUCGACCUUUAAAAUCUU